This 16-nucleotide transfer RNA is filed under the name Anastrepha obliqua. RNAcentral describes it as "partial tRNA-Pro". The record is from RNAcentral. Lineage: Eukaryota; Metazoa; Arthropoda; Insecta; Diptera; Tephritidae.
AUCAGGAGGUAGUUUA